Molecule: ribosomal RNA, 449 nt
Filed under: uncultured bacterium
Lineage: Bacteria
Description: partial 16S ribosomal RNA
Rfam family: Bacterial small subunit ribosomal RNA
Source: RNAcentral
CCUACGGGCGGCUGCAGUGGGGAAUUUUGGACAAUGGGCGCAAGCCUGAUCCAGCCAUGCCGCGUGCGGGAAGAAGGCCUUCGGGUUGUAAACCGCUUUUGUCAGGGAAGAAAUCUUCUGAGUUAAUACCUCGGGAGGAUGACGGUACCUGAAGAAUAAGCACCGGCUAACUACGUGCCAGCAGCCGCGGUAAUACGUAGGGUGCGAGCGUUAAUCGGAAUUACUGGGCGUGAAACGUAAGCCGGCGGUGAAAUCCCCGGGCUCAACCUGGGAACUGCAUUUGUGACUGCAUAGCUGGAGUGCGGCAGAGGGGGAUGGAAUUUCGCGUGUAGCAGUGAAAUGCGUAGAUAUGCGGAGGAACACCGAUGGCGAAGGCAAUCCCCUGGGCCUGCACUGACGCUCAUGCACGAAAGCGUGGGGAGCAAACAGGAUUAGAUACCCCGGUAGUC